GACGAACGCUGGCGGCGUGCUUAACACAUGCAAGUGGAGCGACGAACCCAGGCUUGCCUGGGGGCAGAGCCGCGAACGGGUGAGUAACACGUGGGUUACCUGCCCCGUUGACAGGGACAACCCGGGGAAACCCGGGCUAAUACCUGAUGUGACCUUCGGGUGAAAGGAAGCUUCGGCCUCCGCAACGGGAUGGGCCCGCGGCGCAUUAGCUUGUUGGUGGGGUAACGGCCUACCAAGGCGACGAUGCGUAGCUGGUCUGAGAGGACGAUCAGCCACACUGGGACUGAGACACGGCCCAGACUCCUACGGGAGGCAGCAGUGGGGAAUCUUGCGCAAUGCGCGAAAGCGUGACGCAGCAACGCCGCGUGGAGGAAGACGGCCUUCGGGUUGUAAACUCCUUUCAGUUGGGACGAAGCUUUUACGGUGAAUAGCCGUGUGGAGUGACGGUACCUUCAGAAGAAGCCCCGGCUAACUACGUGCCAGCCGCCGCAGUAACAC
Molecule: ribosomal RNA, 498 nt
Filed under: uncultured bacterium
Lineage: Bacteria
Description: bacterial SSU rRNA
Rfam family: Bacterial small subunit ribosomal RNA
Source: RNAcentral